UAUUCAUCCCAUGCGGGAAGGAUGAGAAGCUUCGACUAAGGUUCGAUUCGAGCGAAGCGAGAAAGCGUUGCCGCAGGCAACGACCCGAAGGGCGAGGCGCAACGCGCCGAGUAAUCCUUCCCCCCACCCUC
RNAcentral lists this small RNA (131 nucleotides) under Klebsiella grimontii. RNAcentral describes it as "RtT sRNA". It matches the Rfam family "RtT RNA". From Rfam's summary of the family: This family represents a bacterial cis-regulatory element known as RtT RNA. RNAcentral also lists the same sequence under 3 other names. The record is from RNAcentral. Lineage: Bacteria; Pseudomonadati; Pseudomonadota; Gammaproteobacteria; Enterobacterales; Enterobacteriaceae.